AACGUAGGAGACUAGCGUUAUCCGGAUUUACUGGGCGUAAAGCGUGUGCAGGCGGUUCGGCAAGUUGGAUGUGAAAUCUCCCGGCUCAACUGGGAGGGGUCGUUCAAUACUACCGAACUUGAGGGCAUCAGAGGAAGGUGGAAUUCCGGGUGUAGUGGUGAAAUGCGUAGAUAUCCGGAGGAACACCAGUGGCGAAGGCGGCCUUCUGGGAUGCUCCUGACGCUCAGACACGAAAGCUAGGGGAGCGAACGGG
Molecule: ribosomal RNA, 253 nt
Filed under: uncultured bacterium
Lineage: Bacteria
Also listed under: 1 other name
Description: partial 16S ribosomal RNA
Rfam family: Bacterial small subunit ribosomal RNA
Source: RNAcentral